UCAACGAGGAUGGGAAGACGGUGGACCUGGCACCCAACUUUUACUCUGCCCUGCUGCCGCAGCUCACCGAGCUGUUGACGCCUGCCGCCGACGCUCUCAACGAGUUCCUUCGCCGGGGAGGUACCAUC
Molecule: non-coding RNA, 128 nt
Filed under: Sexangularia sp. CB-2014
Lineage: Eukaryota; Tubulinea; Elardia; Arcellinida
Source: RNAcentral